This 902-nucleotide ribosomal RNA is filed under the name uncultured beta proteobacterium. RNAcentral's name for it is "bacterial SSU rRNA". It matches the Rfam family "Bacterial small subunit ribosomal RNA", at positions 8 to 907 of the family's 1533-position model. The record is from RNAcentral. Lineage: Bacteria; Pseudomonadati; Pseudomonadota; Betaproteobacteria.
AGAGUUUGAUCAUGGCUCAGAUUGAACGCUGGCGGCAUGCCUUACACAUGCAAGUCGAACGGCAGCGCGGGGCAACCUGGCGGCAAGUGGCGAACGGGUGAGUAAUAUAUCGGAACGUACCCUGGAGUGGGGGAUAACGUAGCGAAAGUUACGCUAAUACCGCAUACGAUCUAAGGAUGAAAGUGGGGGAUUCGCAAGAACCUCAUGCUCCUGGAGCGGCCGAUAUCCGAUUAGCUAGUUGGUAGGGUAAAAGCCUACCAAGGCAUCGAUCAGUAGCUGGUCUGAGAGGACGACCAGCCACACUGGAACUGAGACACGGUCCAGACUCCUACGGGAGGCAGCAGUGGGGAAUUUUGGACAAUGGGCGCAAGCCUGAUCCAGCAAUGCCGCGUGAGUGAAGAAGGCCUUCGGGUUGUAAAGCUCUUUUGUCAGGGAAGAAACGGGUCUUUCUAAUACAGAGAUCUAAUGACGGUACCUGAAGAAUAAGCACCGGCUAACUACGUGCCAGCAGCCGCGGUAAUACGUAGGGUCCAAGCGUUAAUCGGAAUUACUGGGCGUAAAGCGUGCGCAGGCGGUUUUGUAAGUCUGUCGUGAAAUCCCCGGGCUCAACCUGGGAAUGGCGAUGGAGACUGCAAGGCUAGAGUUUGGCAGAGGGGGUAGAAUUCCACGUGUAGCAGUGAAAUGCGUAGAUAUGUGGAGGAACACCGAUGGCGAAGGCAGCCCCCUGGGUCAAAACUGACGCUCAUGCACGAAAGCGUGGGGAGCAAACAGGAUUAGAUACCCUGGUAGUCCACGCCCUAAACGAUGUCUACUAGUUGUCGGGUUUUAAUUAACUUGGUAACGCAGCUAACGCGUGAAGUAGACCGCCUGGGGAGUACGGUCGCAAGAUUAAAACUCAAAGG